GAUGAACGCUGGCGGCGUGCCUAAUACAUGCAAGUCGAGCGAAAAGACGAGGAGCUUGCUCCUCUGACGUUAGCGGCGGACGGGUGAGUCACACGUGGAUACCCCCCCUAUAAGACUGGGAUAACUUCGGGAAACCGGAGAUAAUACCGGAUAAUAUAUUGAACCGCAUGGUUCAAUGGUGAAAGACGGUUUUGCUGUCACUACUAGAUGGUUCCGCGCCGCAUUAGCUAGUUGGUAAGGUAACGGCUUACCAAGGCAACGAUGCGUAGCCGACCUGAGAGGGUGAUCGGCCACACUGGAACUGAGACACGGUCCAGACUCCUACGGGAGGCAGCAGUAGGGAAUCGUCCGCAAUGGGCGAAAGCCUGACGGAGCAACGCCGCGUGAGUGAUGAAGGUCUUCGGAUCGUAAAACUCUGUUAUUAGGGAAGAACAAAUGUGUAAGUAACUAUGCACGUCUUGACGGUACCUAAUCAGAAAGCCACGGCUAACUACGUG
Molecule: ribosomal RNA, 497 nt
Filed under: uncultured bacterium
Lineage: Bacteria
Description: partial 16S ribosomal RNA
Rfam family: Bacterial small subunit ribosomal RNA
Source: RNAcentral